Molecule: ribosomal RNA, 259 nt
Filed under: uncultured Piloderma
Lineage: Eukaryota; Fungi; Basidiomycota; Agaricomycetes; Atheliales; Atheliaceae
Description: partial 28S ribosomal RNA
Rfam family: Eukaryotic large subunit ribosomal RNA
Source: RNAcentral
UUGACCUCAAAUCAGGUAGGACUACCCGCUGAACUUAAGCAUAUCAAUAAGCGGAGGAAAAGAAACUAACAAGGAUUCCCCUAGUAACUGCGAGUGAAGCGGGAAAAGCUCAAAUUUAAAAUCUGGCGGUCUUGCGGCCGUCCGAGUUGUAAUCUGGAGAAGCGUUUAUCCGCGUCGGACCGUGUACAAGUCUCCUGGAAGGGAGCGUCGUAGAGGGUGAGAAUCCCGUCUUUGACACGGACAACCGAUGCUUUUGUGA